GGAUCUUCGAUCAUAGGGUCGGCGGCGGCCGCGGCGUCGAAGUUGAUGUGUCGGGGCUGUUGGUGCUGGAGGCAGUUUUUGCUGUCGAGAGAGGAAGCGACGGCCUGGGACUUGGCCUUUUUCAUGGUCGGAAAGUGACUGCCGGCGGAGGUAGUAGUGGUGGUGGUGUGGCGGAGCGCUUGUUGUUGAUGUUAUAGUUAGGUUGAGACAUGGAAAGCAAUCAAGAGGUCAUUGUAAAAGAGAAGCAGAAGACGAAGAAGAAGAAGAAGAAGAAGAA
This 277-nucleotide long non-coding RNA is filed under the name Actinidia chinensis (golden kiwifruit). RNAcentral's name for it is "long non-coding RNA (ACHI_LNC000821)". The record is from RNAcentral. Lineage: Eukaryota; Viridiplantae; Streptophyta; Magnoliopsida; Ericales; Actinidiaceae.